RNAcentral lists this transfer RNA (87 nucleotides) under bacterium. RNAcentral's name for it is "tRNA-Ser". It matches the Rfam family "tRNA". Rfam says of the family: Transfer RNA (tRNA) molecules are approximately 80 nucleotides in length. Their secondary structure includes four short double-helical elements and three loops (D, anti-codon, and T loops). Further hydrogen bonds mediate the characteristic L-shaped molecular structure. tRNAs have two regions of fundamental functional importance: the anti-codon, which is responsible for specific mRNA codon recognition, and the 3' end, to which the tRNAs corresponding amino acid is attached (by aminoacyl-tRNA synthetases). tRNAs cope with the degeneracy of the genetic code in two manners: having more than one tRNA (with a specific anti-codon) for a particular amino acid; and 'wobble' base-pairing, i.e. permitting non-standard base-pairing at the 3rd anti-codon position. The record is from RNAcentral.
GGAGGGUUAGCCUAACCAGGUAAGGCAGCUGAUUUGAAAUCAGCCGGGCGAAAGCCCUUGGGGGUUCAAAUCCCUCACCCUCCGCCU